This 697-nucleotide ribosomal RNA is filed under the name uncultured bacterium. RNAcentral describes it as "bacterial SSU rRNA". It matches the Rfam family "Bacterial small subunit ribosomal RNA", at positions 65 to 754 of the family's 1533-position model. The record is from RNAcentral.
UAUUCGCUGAUGAAGCUUCGGCAGAAUCUUGAAUAACUUAGUGGCGGACGGGUGAGUAACGCGUGGGUAACCUGCCUCAUACAGGGGGAUAGCAGUUGGAAACGACUGAUAACACCGCAUAAGCGCACAGUGUCGCAUGACACAGUGUGAAAAUAUUUAUAGGUAUGAGAUGGACCCGCGUCUGAUUAGCUAGUUGGUGAGGUAACGGCCCACCAAGGCGACGAUCAGUAGCCGGCCUGAGAGGGCGGACGGCCACAUUGGGACUGAGACACGGCCCAAACUCCUACGGGAGGCAGCAGUGGGGGAUAUUGCACAAUGGGCGAAAGCCUGAUGCAGCGACGCCGCGUGAGUGAAGAGGUAUUUCGGUAUGUAAAGCUCUAUCAGCAGGGAAGAAAGACCUCGUAAGAGGGGAUGACGGUACCUGAGUAAGAAGCCCCGGCUAACUACGUGCCAGCAGCCGCGGUAAUACGUAGGGGGCAAGCGUUAUCCGGAUUUACUGGGUGUAAAGGGAGCGUAGACGGUGUAUCAAGUCUGAAGUGAAACCCCACGGCUCAACCGUGGGCUUGCUUUGGAAACUGGUAGACUAGAGUACUGGAGAGGUAAGCGGAAUUCCUGGUGUAGUAGUGAAAUGCGUAGAUAUCAGGAAGAACAUCAGUGGCGAAGGCGGCUUACUGGACAGCGACUGACGUUGAGGCUC